GUCUGGCUAACAGUGGACGAAAAUUACAUGCUACUUGUUAACCACUUGAGCUAUGUAGGCGGUAACAAAACAUCAGCAAUAUUAAGGAGGAUUCUUGAAAAACUGUUUUCAAACAAACUUGCGGAAAUCUGUAAUUGGUCAGGCAAAAAUGGAAAACAUAAGCUACAAGAUCACCUUUUAAUUAAAGUUGUUACUGAAGCUCUCCGUCGGCACAAAGUCGCCGAAACGGCUACAGAAAACGAGAUAAAGACCGUGGUUAGCAACUGGUUCCGCUUCUCCAAAGAUAGAGAUGGAGGUCGAGAAAGCAGACGCAGGACAAUUGAGCCAACUUCUAUCCAGCAAUAAUCAACGUUACACAGGGCUGUCAACUAGAAAUAAGAAAAGACAUUUAGCCUUAAAGAUACAAGAAAUAUCUGUAGAGUUAAACGGGCUCAGUGGGGAAACUAGUCCACCUAAUCAACCAUAUACUGUAGAUGUCGGUAACAGUAA
This is a long non-coding RNA of Aricia agestis (brown argus), 489 nucleotides long. RefSeq lists it as uncharacterized. NCBI's taxonomy places the organism in Eukaryota, Metazoa, Arthropoda, Insecta, Lepidoptera, Lycaenidae. The transcript has 3 exons. The record is from RefSeq and is a predicted model, not a curated record.